AUUUUAUAUUUUAGGUUAUUGUUUUGCUCUGGGUAUUAAUUGGACUACUUAAGAGGCACUGAUAUUGGAUGCGAAUGGAUCUUGAUCAUGAGCGGAUUUCAUUGAUAACUUUUCAAGCAGAAGAACAAUUCAACAAAACACUUCAACUCUAAUCAUGCUCUAUUCUUGAAUAUAUCCUGUGAUAUCUUGAAGAAUGAAGAAAAACAGAUGUAUCUACACUGCAUGUAAAGAAAAACAACAAAUGAUGGUGUUUCAUGGUGUGCGUGUUGCUGACAAAAAGAGAAAAAUCGUCCGUGUUGCUACCUUAAUGCUUAGUGCUACGCUUUA
Parasteatoda tepidariorum (common house spider) is the source of this 327-nucleotide long non-coding RNA. RefSeq lists it as uncharacterized. NCBI's taxonomy places the organism in Eukaryota, Metazoa, Arthropoda, Arachnida, Araneae, Theridiidae. The record is from RefSeq and is a predicted model, not a curated record.